CCCGGCUGCUGCAGCUCCUGGAGCCCCCCCGGCGCCGCCCGGCAUGGGGGGGGCACGGGAACAGCGCCCAGGAGUCUCCGGGGGAUGGCAGCCUGGCCAGCCGCAGCAGCAGCACCAUCAGUGCCACCAGUGCCACCAGUGCCACCAACGCCUCGGGGCCAGAGGACGAGGAAGAGGAGGAGGAGGAGGAAGAGGAGGGGGGUGAGGAAGGGGGCGAGGAAGGCUCCUGCCCGCCCCCCGACGGCUCCGGCAGCGAGGCCCAGGACGCCCCGCCCCCCGAGGAGGAGGAGGAGGAGCCCCGCGAGGAGGCGGAGCCACAGGAGGAGGGGGCGGAGCCUGAGCCCGGCCCCCUCCCGGAGCCCCCCCAGCCCCACGGGGGCACCCGGCAGGAGGAGGAGGAGGACGCCCCCCCCCCUCCCGGCAGGGGCGGAGCCUCCCUUGGGGGCGGAGCCUGAGCUGGGGGCGGAGCCUCCCGCCGCAGGUGGGCGUGGCCUCCCGUGCUGGGCCGGCUGGGGAGGGGGCGGGGCCCUGCUGGGGGCGGGGCUGGCGCUGGCCCUCGCCCCCCCGGCCUUCCUGCCCCUCCCCCUGCUCCUCCUCCUCCUCCUCCUCCUUUUGGGGCCCCUGCUGGGUCUGAGGCCCCCCCUGGCCCCCCGCCGCCCCCUGCCGGUGCCCCAAAUCCCCCGUUUUUUCCCCCAAAUCCUGCCCCCCCUCCACGUCCCCGCCCUGCUCCUGGCCUCGCGCCUCCUGGCCUCCCCCUGGCUCUUCCUCCCCCUCUACCUCCUGGUGGCCUCCUGCAGGGGCCGGGGGGGGCUCCCCCAUCGCGCCGCCCGCUGGUGGCUGCGGGCGCUGCUGCGCCUCCCCCGGCCCGUUUUUGGGGUGCUGCAGGGGCUGGGCCUGGCCUCGGAGCGGGGCCUCUUCCGCCUCUUCCCCAAGGCCAACAAAUUGGGGGGGGGGUUCCGCUCCCGCCUCCCCGUGCCCCGGCACCCCCGGGACCGCCCCCCGGUAAUUUCGCCCCCCNNNNNNNNNNNNNNNNNNNNNNNNNNNNNNNNNNNNNNNNNNNNNNNNNNNNNNNNNNNNNNNNNNNNNNNNNNNNNNNNNNNNNNNNNNNNNNNNNNNNCCCCCCCCCCCAGCCCCCCCCCAGGAGGCCCUGGAGGUGACGGAGGCCGCGGGGCCACACCAGGCCGUGGUCCCGGCAAGGAGGGGGGGGGCGCCCCAUUUUGGGGACAAAACGCCUGUUUUUGGGACUGAGAGCCCCGUAUUUGGGAACAAGACCCCGCUAUUUGGGGUUAGAGCCCUUUUUUCGGGGUCCAAACCCCCCUUUUUGGGGCUAAAACGUCCCCAUUUUAGGCCUAAGACACCCCGUUUUGAAGCCAAGACCCCCCAUUUGGGGGUUAAGACCACCCAUUUUGGGGUAAAACCCCCCGUUUUGGGGCUCACACCAAACUUCUGGGGUCAAAACCCCCCAUUCUGGGGCCAAGACGCCCAUUUUGGGGCCGGGGGCCUCCCCGUUUUGAGGCCGGGACUGCCAAUUUUGGGUAAAAAACACUCACUUUGAGGCCGGAGACCCCCUUUUUGGGGCCAGAGACCCUCUUUUUGGGGCCGGGGACCCACAUUUUGAGGCGGAGAACCCCCUUUUGGGGUUGGGACCUUCCUUUUUUUGAGACCGGGGACCUCCAUUUUGAGGCCAGAACCCCUAUUUCGGGGACCUCCCUGUUUUUGGGCUGAAAAACCCCGUUUUUGGGGCUGGGGACCCCCCAUUUUGGGGUCAGACAACCCCUUUUUGGGGUCAAGCUCACUCCAAUGGGGCCGAGCCCCCCCCUUUUUACUGCUCCCCUCCCCCCUUUGUACUGGGAGCCCCUUUUUUUAUACUGGGGACCCCCCCUUUGACCUGAGGACCCCCCCCGUGGGGCCGGGGACCCCCUAUUUAUUGCCGCGGGGCCGCGUUUUGGGGCCGUUCCCCUCGGUUUCGGGUUCUCGAUGACUUUCUUCGUCCCCUGCUCCUCGUCUUGCUGCUCUGUCCGGCCGCCGGGGGGGGGGUUGUGUGGUUUUGGGGCUCCCUUUUAGGGAUUUUGGUGGUUUUGAGGCUCCCCAGAGGGAUCUUGGGGGUUUCAAGGCUCCCCUGCAGGGGGGUUGGGUGGUUUCGGGGCUCCCCACAAAGAGAUUGGGUGGUUUUGGGGCUCCUUUUUAGGGAUUUUGGUGGUGUCAGGGCUCCCCAUUGGGGAUUUGGGCAGUUUUGAGGCUCCCCAGA
RNAcentral lists this long non-coding RNA (2248 nucleotides) under Anas platyrhynchos platyrhynchos (common mallard). RNAcentral's name for it is "lncRNA (ENSAPLG00000017727.1)". The record is from RNAcentral. Lineage: Eukaryota; Metazoa; Chordata; Aves; Anseriformes; Anatidae.